Molecule: ribosomal RNA, 468 nt
Filed under: uncultured bacterium
Lineage: Bacteria
Description: partial 16S ribosomal RNA
Rfam family: Bacterial small subunit ribosomal RNA
Source: RNAcentral
GACGAACGCUGGCGGCGUGCUUAACACAUGCAAGUCGAACGGAAAGGCCCUGCUUUUGUGGGGUGCUCGAGUGGCGAACGGGUGAGUAACACGUGAGUAACCUGCCCUUGACUUUGGGAUAACUUCAGGAAACUGGCGCUAAUACCGGAUAGGAGCUCCUGCUGCAUGGUGGGGGUUGGAAAGUUUCGGCGGUUGGGGAUGGACUCGCGGCUUAUCAGCUUGUUGGUGGGGUAGUGGCUUACCAAGGCUUUGACGAGUAGCCGGCCUGAGAGGGUGACCGGCCACAUUGGGACUGAGAUACGGCCCAGACUCCUACGGGAGGCAGCAGUGGGGAAUAUUGCACAAUGGGCGGAAGCCUGAUGCAGCAACGCCGCGUGCGGGAUGACGGCCUUCGGGUUGUAAACCGCUUUCGCCUGUGACGAAGCGUGAGUGACGGUAAUGGGUAAAGAAGCACCGGCUAACUACGUG